ACCUCAAGUUGCACCGUUGCGAGAUAUCACCCAUUAACUUAUCGGCGGACUUGCUUGAUGGAGA
Non-coding RNA from Angomonas deanei, 64 nucleotides. The record is from Rfam. Lineage: Eukaryota; Euglenozoa; Kinetoplastea; Trypanosomatida; Trypanosomatidae.